This 319-nucleotide ribosomal RNA is filed under the name uncultured bacterium. RNAcentral describes it as "bacterial SSU rRNA". It matches the Rfam family "Bacterial small subunit ribosomal RNA", at positions 28 to 348 of the family's 1533-position model. The record is from RNAcentral.
GACGAACGCUGGCGGCGUGCUUAACACAUGCAAGUCGAGCGGUAAGGCCCUUUCGGGGGUACACGAGCGGCGAACGGGUGAGUAACACGUGGGUGACCUGCCCUCAGCUCUGGGAUAAGCCUGGGAAACUGGGUCUAAUACUGGAUAUGACUCCACGGUGCAUGUCGUGGGGUGGAAAGCCUUGUGCGGCUGAGGAUGGGCCCGCGGCCUAUCAGCUUGUUGGUGGGGUGANGGCCUACCAAGGCGACGACGGGUAGCCGGCCUGAGAGGGCGACCGGCCACACUGGGACUGAGACACGGCCCAGACUCCUACGGGGGA